UUUCCGUAGGUGAACCUGCGGAAGGAUCAUUAUUGUAUAACCAACGUGCAAAGGCUUUCGAUGACCCGACUGGUUGUGCCCGCCCAAGUGCCCUCACCCACAACCAUCUCACCCCUCUGUGCACCACCGCGAGGGUCUCCCUUUGGAUUGAUCGGCGGGGGGCUUCCGUUUUCACACCAACUUUUUAUGCAGUGUAGAAUGUAUUUUUUGUUUUUGCGAACAACCAAUCAAUACAACUUUCAACAACGGAUAUCUUGGCUCUCGCAUCGACGAAGAACG
This 279-nucleotide unclassified non-coding RNA is filed under the name plant metagenome. Its description in RNAcentral is "partial contains small subunit ribosomal RNA, internal transcribed spacer 1, and 5.8S ribosomal RNA". The stretch from base 235 to 279 matches the Rfam family "5.8S ribosomal RNA", at positions 1 to 45 of the family's 154-position model. The record is from RNAcentral.